This 313-nucleotide ribosomal RNA is filed under the name Bacillus siamensis. Its description in RNAcentral is "bacterial LSU rRNA". It matches the Rfam family "Bacterial large subunit ribosomal RNA", at positions 1692 to 2003 of the family's 2925-position model. The record is from RNAcentral. Lineage: Bacteria; Bacillati; Bacillota; Bacilli; Caryophanales; Bacillaceae.
GAGAGAACUCUCGUUAAGGAACUCGGCAAAAUGACCCCGUAACUUCGGGAGAAGGGGUGCUCUGUUAGGGUGCAAGCCCGAGAGAGCCGCAGUGAAUAGGCCCAGGCGACUGUUUAGCAAAAACACAGGUCUCUGCGAAGCCGUAAGGCGAAGUAUAGGGGCUGACGCCUGCCCGGUGCUGGAAGGGUAAGAGGAGCGCUUAGCGUAAGCGAAGGUGCGAAUUGAAGCCCCAGUAAACGGCGGCCGUAACUAUAACGGUCCUAAGGUAGCGAAAUUCCUUGUCGGGUAAGUUCCGACCCGCACGAAAGGCGCA